This 320-nucleotide unclassified non-coding RNA is filed under the name Hevea brasiliensis (rubber tree). Lineage: Eukaryota; Viridiplantae; Streptophyta; Magnoliopsida; Malpighiales; Euphorbiaceae. The record is from RNAcentral.
GUUUUAUUUUUCAAAUGCAAUGCAAAUAAUCAGGCACCUUGUGUUUCCUUAGUCUGGAUCAGCCCCAAAGUCAAAUAGGUCAUUUUAUGUAUAUGCAAUUGCAGUUAACUUAAUAUAAGGAUACACAAAAUAAUUAAAAUCCUUUGGAAGCACUGAUGGAGCUAGUGGGGACUGAGCCGCUGAGGGGUGUCAUGGCCCCCUCUAGCUUGGUAUUUUUUUUUUAUCCAUGUAUUUUUAUGAAAAAAAUAUAUAAAUAUAUACAAAUACAUAUUAAAUUAAACUGUCCUCCUCCCCAUAUUAAAUUAAACUGUCCUCCUCCC